CCUUCUAUAGCUCAGUUGGUAGAGCGGGGGACUGUAGAUCCCUAGGUCACUGGUUCAAAUCCGGUUCGAAGGA
This 73-nucleotide transfer RNA is filed under the name Dendronephthya gigantea. RNAcentral's name for it is "tRNA-Tyr". It matches the Rfam family "tRNA". Rfam says of the family: Transfer RNA (tRNA) molecules are approximately 80 nucleotides in length. The record is from RNAcentral. Lineage: Eukaryota; Metazoa; Cnidaria; Anthozoa; Malacalcyonacea; Nephtheidae.